Small nucleolar RNA from Lathyrus oleraceus (garden pea), 109 nucleotides. The record is from RefSeq and is a predicted model, not a curated record. NCBI's taxonomy places the organism in Eukaryota, Viridiplantae, Streptophyta, Magnoliopsida, Fabales, Fabaceae.
AGGCCAUGAUGCAGGCACAAUAUCAUCAUAUCUUUUUACCUUUCCCAAUCGUCAAAGAUAGAUUCUCCAUCAUCUUGUCUGAAACAAGUGAUUUGAUUUCUUUAAACUU